GCUAUGUGUCAUUAGUACUAGUGUGUGUGUGUGUGUGUGUGUGUGUGUGUGUUUCACUGCAGACCAGCAGUGCUCAUACAGUAGCUUAGACUUCCUUACCACUUGUUCCUGCAUGCAGAGGUCAGGAAGGCCUUCACUCAGAGGAAUAAAACACAAGAGAACGGACAGAAUAGGAACGAAAGGCUGUCUCUUCCUCCCAUUUUGGCGACUGGCACUCGGGAUGACCUUUAUUGUCUGGCAGGGUCAGCAUUGACUGUCUGAUGCACCUGCCUGCAACAAUCCAGGUCAACUUCCUGGAAGAGCUAGACAUACUGCUGUCCUCUUUCCCGGAGGAUGGAUCACUGCUGUUACAGCAGUCCUUGGUGACUUCAGCAUCCACCUAGACAAACUUCAAGUAGCUGAUUUUCAUAACUCUUCUGGCCUCAUUCAAUCUUGCAAGCGAGGAAGCCCUGCGACACACAAAACAGGCAGUCAGCUAGACCUCAUACUCAAACAUAACUAUCACUGUCAUCCAGCUUUUUAUUCCAUUACAUUUCUCGGACCACUUCUUUCUCCAGGUUUUGUGUCACUCUAACUUCUUGUCCACUAACUGGCUCCUCCUCUGGUCACCUUUUGCCAUAACCUCUGCUUUAAUUCAAUUCAAUUCACAUUUAUUUGUGUAUCACUUUUCAUAAUACAUAUUGUUUCAAAGCAGCUUUGAAAGAAAAAUGCAUGUUUCUAAUGUUCUGUUAUCAGAUGUGACUGUGUCAAAGUAAUGUCCAUAUGUCAAAAAUGUACAGUUCUAAGAUAAUACAGAUAAUACAGUUAGCUAAUAUCAUGUAUUUAUUUACACUCUUAAAAAUAAAGGUUCUUUAUUGGGAUUGAUGGUUCCAUGAAGAAUGGUUCUUUUUGGAACUGUUCACUGAAAGGUUUUUAGGAGAACCCAAAAUAGUUCUUCAAUUGCAGCGCUGUAAAAACCCCCUUUUGGAACCUUUAUUUUUAAGACUGUAGGCAAAAACUAUGUUUUCAUUAAAGCAAUUAUUAAAAGUUGUAAUCAUAAUGAUUAUAAUAUAGGCCUAUAGAAAAUCUGGCAGUGAUGCAUGUUGAUUCAGAGCUGGCAUCAUCUGAAGUCUUUGCAGGAGUUGGCGUCAUGUCUUUACAGGUGUUGGGGCAUCUGAAAUCUUCGUAAGAGGCUGGAUCGAAACUGGAGCUGGCGUACUCUGGGAAUCCUGAGGUAGAGACAGAAAAGCAAAUGGAAAAUAAUUAGCUUAGUUGCUGUUCAUAAUAUUUCAAGCAAAAGAUAAUCAUGUGCAUUUGAUCUGAUAUAACUGGAGUACAAGGCUAUGAGGUGCUUUAUGUGAAUGCUUGGCUUAAGAGAUAUGUCUUUAAUCUAGAUUUAAACUGGGAGACUGUGUCUGAGCUUCGAACAUUAUCAGGAAGGCUAUUCCAGAGUUUAAAUGUGAAAACACUCUACCUCCUUUAGUGGACUUAGACAUCCUAGGUACAACCAAAAUAUCCAGUUUUUUGUGACCUUAAAGAGCAUGAUGGAUUGUAGGGCGAUAGAAGAUCAGUUGAGUACACAGGAGCUAAACCAUUUAGGGCCUUAUAGGUCAGUAGCAAUACUUUGUAAUCGAUACAGAACUUAAUAGGUAACCAGUGUAGAGAUGAUAAAAUUGAGUUUAUAUGAUCAUAUUUUCAUGACCUGGUAAGAACUCUAGCAGCUGCAUUUUGGACUAACUGUAGCUUGUUUAUUGAGAAUGCAGGACAACCCCCUAGUAGUGCAUUACAGUAAUCCAGUCUUGAGGUCAUGAAUGCAUGAACUAGCUUUUCUGCAUCAGAAACAUGAGUAUCAUCGACAUAACAGUGGAAAAUAAUUCCAUGUUUUCUAAUAGUAUUACCAAGAGGGGCAGCAUGUAUACUGAAAAUAGCAGAGGACCUAAAACAGACCCUUGCGGCACUCCAUAAUGUACUGACAUUAACUUGGAUAAUUCCCCAUUUAAAUAAGCAAAAUUGUAAUGGUCAGAUAGGUACAAUCUAAACCAACCUAAUGCCUGUCACAAAAUACCGGUGUAAUUUUGUAAUCAAUCUGAGAGUAUGUCAUGAUCUAUAGUGUCAAAUGCAGCACUAACAUCAAGUAAAACUAGUACUGAGAUGCAGCUUUGGUCAGAAGCUAAAAGUAAGUCAUUUGAAAGUAAUUUUAACGAGCACAGUUUCUGUGCUAUGAUGGGGCCUGAAUACUGACUGUGUCUGCAUCCCUUCUCUCCACUAAUCACUUCUCUUGAUGUCAGUGUAUCUAUACUGAUACUUUCUCUGCUCCACAUCCUGCCUUGAUAAUAUCUGUCCUCCAGGCCAGCACAUACACUACGACACCCUCCAGACCUUGGCUCAAAAAUGCUCUUCGUGACUAUAGAACCAAGCUGUCUUACUCCCAAAAAACACCUCAGACAAUUGUAGACUAUUCACAACAUUCUCCUCUCUGCUCUGUGCUCCUCCACCCCCUCACACUUAUUCUGACUGCUGAUGACUUUGCCACCUAUUUCACUGAUAAGGUGGCAAUCCUCAUCAACCAGUUCUCUACAACACUCACCCACAGCCAAACUCCACCUACACACAUUCCAAUCUUCUCUUCUUUCUGUUCCCUCACUGAGAACAAGGUCUCCAAAGUUCUCUGUACAAGCCAUUCUGCAACCUGUCACUUAGACCCGAUCUCCUCCCACUUCCGACAGGAGAUUUCCCUAACACUGCUACCAGCUCUCACUCGCAUCACCAACACCUCUCAGGCAACUUUCUCACCGCAUUUAAGUAGGCCAAAAAUCAACACUCAAUCCUACAGCAGAUGAAUCUACAGACCAGUCUCUCUCCAUCAUUUUCUUCUGAAAGACUUGUUUUCAAUAGCUCUCUGCUUUUCUCUCACAGAAGGUUCUACUUGACAACAACCAGUCUGGCUUCAAAAGUGGACACUCCACAUCAGUUAACUACUGGGGUGCCUCAAGAUUCUUUUCUUCUUUUCUCCAUUUACACAACCUCAUUGGGUGCUACCACCACUCCUACCAUGGCUAUGCAGAUUAUACACAGUCAUUAAAAUCUGACUCCUCACUGUCUCAACAUAUAUCACUGUCUGAGUGUCGGACAUCUUGGCAUUGAUGAUGAAACAUCAUCUCCAGCUCAAACUUGUGAAAAUGGAGCUCCUUGCAAUCCCGUUACUUGACCACAAUUUCACUGUUCCACUGCAACACGCCAACCAGGACGGCAAGGAACCUGGGGUUAGUGUUUGAUGACAACCUGAGCUAUACCACCAAUGUUUCAGCCAAGACCCUGUCAUAAAGGAUUGUGCUUUAUAACAUCAGAAAAAUUCAGACCCUUCCUGUCAAAGUACAUUGCUCAGCUCCUCGCCCAAACAUUUUUGGUGAUCAUUUAGUGGAGACAAACAAAUUAUGUUUUGUUAACAAAGUUCGGGAGGAGCAGGUUCAGAUAAUAAACCUAAUUAGCACAAGUGGAAAGCAUUCAGCUAAUCAUUUCAACCAACAACAAGAGGUAUAUAUACUGCAGACUUACAUCUGUUCAUUGACAGUUUAUCAGCAUCCCUCCACCACCCCGUCUCCUCACUUCUAGUUCUAUCUAUUAUUACCAAAUCGGAGGGAGUACUCUGGGUUCGGGCCAAAAUUCCAAGCUCGGAGCCCUCCCCCCGGACAGCACGCCAAAUAUGCAUAGCUUUACUCUAUUUAAUUAUGUGUGAAGUCGUGAAACACAAACACGUUUCUCCACCAUUUCUCAGGUUUAGAACAACAUGAUGAUAAGUAAAUGAUGACAAAAUUUUAAUUAUUCGGCUUUGACGCUAGCUUUCAGGAGAGCCGCUAGAACCUCACAAGUUGCUCUCCAAAAACUUCACCCUCUCUGCUUCUCUCUGGUGAAAUGAGUUGCCAACCUCCAGCAAAUCUGCUGAAACUAUCACAACUU
Molecule: long non-coding RNA, 3936 nt
Organism: Ctenopharyngodon idella (grass carp)
Lineage: Eukaryota; Metazoa; Chordata; Actinopteri; Cypriniformes; Xenocyprididae
Exons: 3
Source: RefSeq, a predicted model, not a curated record